This is a long non-coding RNA of Sycon ciliatum, 2379 nucleotides long. RefSeq lists it as uncharacterized. The transcript is spliced from 3 exons. NCBI's taxonomy places the organism in Eukaryota, Metazoa, Porifera, Calcarea, Leucosolenida, Sycettidae. The record is from RefSeq and is a predicted model, not a curated record.
UCGAAACUAGAAUGGAGUCCAUGAUGAGAAUUCCAACGAGCCUGGACGCAGCUACAAAGUAAGAAUACAAUCAAAUAACUAAUAUCGUCAGAACUAUUGUAACAAUACAAGCAGUAGAUUUACCACAGUGUUAUCUCUAUAUUUACAUGGGCAUCAGUCGUCAAGAUGUAUGGAAUGACAGGAUAACUAAUGUUGAAGUUCUGGAGCGCUGGGGAGAUACCUUGGACAUGGAGUGUCGUCUCAGCAGACGUCGCCUUGAGUGGCUUGGUCAUGUGGCAAGGAUGGAGGAUGAGCGCAUCCCGAAGGCUCUACUGUUCGGUUCGUUUCCAAACAAGAGACCUGCCCAUGGUCCACGGAAAAGGUGGCGAGACUGUGUUCGGAGUGACGUCAAACCACUUGACGACUGGUAUGAAGUGGCCACCUCUUCUCGCUCCAAAUGGCGCCAGGCUUACCGUUGUCUGCCAGACAAGCAGAACAGACCUCGACCAUCACCGGUUGUGUGCCAAACUUGUCACCGCUCCUUCAGUCGUGUAAGUGACAGGAAGCGACACAAGUGUACAGCUACGCGUGCCCUACCCGUGAGCCAACAGCCAGGAAGCUGUCACUGCGAUCAGUGCGACAGAUGGUUCCGGAGCAAUGGUGGAUUUGCCCGACACAAGUGCUCGCCAGCAACAUCACCAGCAGAGGCAUCUUCUGACACACUUGAGUCACCGGUUACAAACAAUAUGUCCUGCGAACGCUGCAGCUUCCACUGCGCCCGCUGCAACCGCUGUGUGCUAUCGCGCCAAGGCAUGAAACGUCACAAGUGCAGCCGUGGCUCGGCCAGAGCAACCAACACAGACCGUAGCUCAUUCUGCAUCGUUUGCAAUUGCGGUCGGCGUUUCAGUAGACCACAGGACCUAUCCCGUCAUCGCCCCUACUGUUCCGAACCUGCUCAACCCUCCAUGGGGUCCGCAUAGCCAGAAUAUGGCAGCGCGUCCAAGGUCCAAGGCAAUGAAGAUGCAGGAAAUAGAGUAACUCGACGUCAACCAGCCCGGUUCACCGGGAACCCACCACCUUCACCCAGCCAAGCAAUUCGGUCUCCGCCAGCCAUAGCACCCAACCCCAAGCCUGUUGUUAAAGCCCGGGCUACUCACGCAUCUCCCCCCAAGCCCACCGGCCUCUGUGCAAUGAUAGCGGCCUUCGAUUCAGCCGGCCAGGAACGGAAACUGGCUGGAACUCUACCUUCAAAACCUAGUCGAGCCCCCCAGCCUCCUACUCGCCCAAAUCCCGUCACUCCCCACAACACAGCAAGAACAGUGGAAACUAAGGAUCCCACUACAGGUCACAGAGUGCAGCCAGUAGUGACUUCUGAUCCUGUGUCUCCUUCACGACCACCGCUCUGUGACCACGCACGAGUAGCGGCUGGCGCUAACCAAUCAAUGGGCACUGAGGCGGCGACAUCUGCCCCAGCUGAUCCCAAGCCCUCUCCGAAAUCUAGACAAGCUGCUCCUUUCAGGUCUGCUAGUGUCUCUACACUAGCAUCUGGUUUUGAAUCGGAUAGGUACGAAGCAGUCAGACUGCCCUCGGAUCAAGCCCCAAAGCCCAAACCGCGCCAAAUGUCCAUCACUGGUGCCAGGGCAGCUAGCUUGGCCAGGAGCCCAACCAUAGCUGUUGGCAAAGACCCGGGCGGACAUGCAGUGCAGCAAGUCCAGCGGUCAGCGCUGCCAACAAAGAGCUUAGCUGCCAAGCCCAUUGCCCUGCCUGCGACUGGACGCUUGUCGAUCGCCAAGAAGGCAACAAGAGAUUUAGCUACGCACCCGCAGCCCAACUCUCUGAGUCAAGCAGGCAACACAGGUCCAUGGUCAAGCCAGCAGUUCCGGAAGUGGAUCCCACACCUCAAAGCAGCGCUCAGCUGUGGCACAAUCCGCACGGAAUGCCUGGCCGAAGGGCUGCUCAGCGAUACGCAGAAGAAGGAAUUGAUGGGAGUAGAAUAUGAUUCUGCCAAACACAAUGACCGACUGCUAGAUAUGCUGAGCAGGGGUACAGCUGAGACUUUCCACACAUUCUGUAGUAUUGUGCGUAGCACCGAACCUGAAGCAAACUUUUCAAAGUUCCUAGAUGACAUGCAGUCAGUGGAUACCUUUGUUGCAGGUAAGUAGAAACUUUAUCAGUCAGGUGACUGAGAGACACUCACAUAAUUGUAUUACAUGUACAGCAAGUACUGUUGGAUACCAUUAGUACUUGGGUGACAAUCUGAGAAACGUUCAUGUUUGGAAAAGAAGAAGUGAGGACCCUGGUGCUCCAGCCUCAAUGCCAACUUGGGCAAGCCACUAAACUCCCCUGGCUUCAGCUGACUAUUUUGCGUAAUGUGGAACCUACCAGAAGUUGGGCAGGGGA